GUUAUUUUCUCCUGCAGUGUCUAAUUCAAGGACGGUGGGAAGAAGUUCUCAAGGCCAGCAAGAGAGUGAGUGUGUGUCCCAAACAGGCUAAUCAGAGCGGCAUCCUCUCAGAGGAAACUGCACACACACACACACACUCAUGGCCUCCAGAGACUCUGCUGCUCUUUUUGCCCACACUGCAUCUACUGCAAACAAAUCAGGACCAUAAUGCCGUGUGACACUCGCUCCCUGCAGUCCUGCCUGUGGCCCGGAGACAGGAACGCCGCUCCAGUGAUUGACAAGGACAAAAAGAGGUGUGAUCCCAUUUAUGUUUCUGAAUCGUCAACCACAGCGAUGGGAGACGGGAAUGACAGCUGGGACUGUAACUUUGAGCGUGAGAGGCAUUUGUGUGGCAAUGCGGCAGGAGCUGAGGGGCAUCAUGGCAACUGUUAUUUACUGGUCGUCUGCCUCAUUUCCCACAAUUCAGUCUGGCUGCGUUACACACACUGAGGGGCUGAAAUCACUCCGUGUCGAGGCUGCAGGGUAAAAAAGACGACAAACAUUUAGAUCAUUUAUUCAAACUGUGUGGCAUCGUC
Cyprinus carpio carpio is the source of this 575-nucleotide long non-coding RNA. NCBI's taxonomy places the organism in Eukaryota, Metazoa, Chordata, Actinopteri, Cypriniformes, Cyprinidae. The record is from Ensembl.